UAUCGUAGUAAUGACUUGAAGAAAAUGCUGGCUGCCCUUCGACUGUCAUUUUUCUACAACUUGCUGUGACUUGGACAGGAUGCUGACUUCCAUCCUGCUCUCUUCACCCAAGUGACGAUGCCACCUUAUUGAACCUUUGAAACCUGACUUGGAAAGCCAAAUCAAAAACGGCCUUCAAAGGAGGUGGAUAAUGAAAGAAAGAGCCUCAAAUCCAAGCCAGCACGAUCAGUGAACAUCUGAGGGUAGAGUGUAAAAUAGAGAACAUUCUAAGAUCUCACUUUGUGAAAAGCAGACAGCUCAUCAUUACAUCAGCCCAGUAGUCCACUAAUGCAUCAUGCAUGUGAGAGCAGCCAGUCUGAGGACUAUGAGUUUCUCCAAGGAAGAUCAAGGAUAAGGAUGUGCUGAAAGGAAGAAAUGGUGACUUGUUUCCAGCAUAAUUUUACUGUACGCUUUCUUAAAUAAGAGCAUAAGUCCGAUUGGGCUCAAAAUGUUAAGACCAUCCCUCCAAAAGACAAAUGAAUUGUCAAUGUUCCUUUGUGAAUAUUCAUUCGGUAAAAUUAUUUCUACAUUUAUGUACAUUUUUAUUUACACAAUUUACCACUACAGAAUCAUUUCAUAAUACGUGUUCUGAAUCAAAAGUAAAUCAAUAAAAUUUAGUGUCUCCCUUCAAGGACAUCAUAGUGUACAACAAAGAGAAA
Molecule: long non-coding RNA, 698 nt
Filed under: Rattus norvegicus (Norway rat)
Lineage: Eukaryota; Metazoa; Chordata; Mammalia; Rodentia; Muridae
Description: long non-coding RNA NONRATT026977
Source: RNAcentral